Molecule: transfer RNA, 76 nt
Filed under: Candidatus Heimdallarchaeota archaeon
Lineage: Archaea; Promethearchaeati; Candidatus Heimdallarchaeota
Description: tRNA-Met
Rfam family: tRNA
About the family: Transfer RNA (tRNA) molecules are approximately 80 nucleotides in length. Their secondary structure includes four short double-helical elements and three loops (D, anti-codon, and T loops).
Source: RNAcentral
GGCUCGGUAGCUCAGUUGGCAGAGCGCAAGACUCAUAAUCUUGAGGCCGGGGGAUCGAGUCCCCCUCGAGCCACCA